This 279-nucleotide long non-coding RNA is filed under the name Capsicum annuum. RNAcentral describes it as "long non-coding RNA (CANN_LNC019728)". The record is from RNAcentral. Lineage: Eukaryota; Viridiplantae; Streptophyta; Magnoliopsida; Solanales; Solanaceae.
CCGGGUUAGGUAGUCGGGCCGGGAUCCGGCCCACUUGACACCCCUACUCCAGAUUGUUCCCAAAUAAACCUUUUGUUAUACGACAUACUCCUCCAAUAUUCUUCUUAACUGAAAUGUUAGUCACAGAUUCUGCUAAACCUUCGUGUACCUUACAACAACUCAAUAAGGGAAUACAAUUGUUUUAUGACACUAUAUAUGAUUCACAUUUACUUACUGCGGUUCGACUAUCAUACUUUUAUAAUCCCACCUAUCUUAUUUCUACUAGGAUUACGCCGAUGG